Molecule: ribosomal RNA, 413 nt
Filed under: uncultured bacterium
Lineage: Bacteria
Description: bacterial SSU rRNA
Rfam family: Bacterial small subunit ribosomal RNA
Source: RNAcentral
GUGCCAGCCGCCGCGGUAAUACGAAGGUGGCGAGCGUUGUCCGGAUUCACUGGGUGUAAACGGUGUGUAGGCGGGACGGUAUGUCAGAGGUGAAAGCCCACGGCUUAACCGUGGAAUUGCCUUUGAAACUGCCGUUCUUGAGUCUCGGAGAGGUCGCUGGAAUUCGUGGUGUAGCGGUGAAAUGCGUAGAUAUCACGAGGAACACCAGAGGCGUAGGCGGGCGACUGGACGAGUACUGACGCUGAGGCACGAAAGCGUGGAGAGCAAACAGGAUUAGGUACCCUGGUAGUCCACGCCGUAGACGAUGGAUGCUCGGUGUUGGCCCUCAUUGUGGGGUCAGCGCCCAAGCUAACGCGUUAAGCAUCCCACCUGGGGAGUACGCUCGCAAGAGUGAAACUCAAAUAAAUUGACGG